Molecule: non-coding RNA, 72 nt
Organism: Ornithorhynchus anatinus (platypus)
Lineage: Eukaryota; Metazoa; Chordata; Mammalia; Monotremata; Ornithorhynchidae
Source: Rfam
AGCAGCGUGGCUCAGUGGAAAGAGCACGGGCUUGGGAGUCAGAGGUCAUGGGUUUGAAUCCCGGCUCUGCCA